GCAAAUUAUCAAAUUUGCCAUUACGUUGGGGUCCGAGUGGUCAGUGGUCAUAAACCCUUCUCCCUCCUCAGCCUCCUCUUUCCCCCUCUCGAAAGACUGCGCGGCCGCGAAGCCAAACCCUAGCCUCCGCCCCCCCUCGAAUCCGCAUCGUCUUCAGCGGGGAGGGAUGAGCAGGCGCUGGAGCAGGACGAUCUAUGUUGGCAACCUCCCUGGGGAUAUCCGGGAGAGGGAGGUGGAGGACCUCUUCUACAAGUAUGGCCGUAUUGUUGAUAUUGACCUGAAGGUUCCUCCAAGGCCGCCUGGCUAUGCUUUUGUUGAGUUUGAAGAUCCUCGUGACGCCGAAGAUGCCUGUGCUGGAAGGGAUGGGUACAACUUUGAUGGAAAUCGUCUAAGAGUGGAACCUGCUCAUGGUGGGAGAGGUAGUGGUGGCCCCUCUCAUGAUCGUUCUAGCAGCUUUGGUGGUGGUGGUGGUGGCGGCGGCGGUGGUGGACGCCGGGGUGUCUCCAGGCACACGGAUUACCGUGUUCUGGUUACUGGCCUGCCUUCUUCUGCAUCCUGGCAAGAUUUAAAGGACCAUAUGCGAAGGGCUGGUGAUGUUUGUUUCGCAGAAGUGUAUCGUGAAGGCGGCGGCACCAUAGGAAUUGUUGACUACACAAACUAUGAUGAUAUGAAAUAUGCUAUAAAGAAACUGGAUGACACUGAAUUUAAGAAUGCAUUUUCUAAAGGUUAUAUAAGGGUGAAGGAAUAUGAUGGCAAAUGUGGGCGCUCCUACUCACGUAGCCGGAGCCCAAGUCGUAGCCGCAGCAAAAGCAGGAGCCCAAGCAAAUCUCCCAGGGCCCGCUCAGCAUCUAGGUCCAGAUCAAGGUCUCGUUCUUCCCGUUCUCGUUCAGCAUCAAAAGGACGUUCUCCAUCAAGACCAUUCUUCAUUUUAUCUGGGAUUGUGCGGCGAUCUGGGGAUUGCACAUUAGGAUAUUGAGGAUGGAAUUUGCUACAAUUGUGUUGGUUGUAUGAGAGCUUGGGCAUAGCACACUUUUUGGAAUUCUGGACAUAAGAGCCUUAAGGAAUGACGAUAUGGAUUAUGAUGGUACAGUGACUAGGAAUUUGCUUGGGAGUCCAAUGCAUGAGGAAUGAGUUUGCUUCCUACUUGUACUCUCCACAUGGUUGUAGUUUGCAUGCACUAAUUGCAUUCAGUACCAGAUGUUUGCAUUUCCUUGAGCUCUUUUCGCUUUCAUUUGGUUAGUCCAAUACCGGAUCACCAGCAAGAUCCAAAUCCCCAAUAGCUUCUCCGGCAAAUGGUGUAGUGGCAAGUCCAGCGGCAAGCCUGAAGAAACGCAGUCCAAGCAGGAGUCCAUCUCGGUCACGGUCACCUGAUGUAAAUGCGAAAUCUGAAUAGAAGCACUGCACCGGGGCAGAUGAGGCGUGUGCUCCGGUCUAGAUAUUUGUUGUCCUCUAUGCUUCUUGAGAAUUACCUGGAUGUCAGCAACUGUCCAAUGAGUCUCCUUUAUUGUGUGAACAAUGUCAACUUGUAUUGCUGAAGACAUCGAACUAGCACUAUCAUAUGCGAUGCCUGCAGCCAGUCUUUCAGUCAACUUGUACUUUGUCUGUUACCCUUAAGUGGAUGUAUCUAGUACUAACUUGGAGUUAGACACAUCCAUUUGAGGAACAAGCUUGGGACAAGCUUUCGGAUAUAGGGAGUAUUUCGUGGAUUUUGUUCAAAAAUCAUGCAAGACGUUUGUGUAUUCAUGUUUCAUGCUUUUUCUCACCA
RNA transcript from Triticum urartu, 1765 nucleotides. It is a transcript of the gene named serine/arginine-rich splicing factor SR30, with no coding region annotated. The record is from RefSeq and is a predicted model, not a curated record. Lineage: Eukaryota; Viridiplantae; Streptophyta; Magnoliopsida; Poales; Poaceae.